This 253-nucleotide ribosomal RNA is filed under the name uncultured bacterium. RNAcentral's name for it is "partial 16S ribosomal RNA". It matches the Rfam family "Bacterial small subunit ribosomal RNA", at positions 524 to 776 of the family's 1533-position model. The record is from RNAcentral.
CACGUAGGGCGCAAGCGUUGUCCGGAAUUAUUGGGCGUAAAGAGCUCGUAGGCGGUCUGUUGCGUCCGCUGUGAAAACCCGGGGCUUAACCCUGGGCUGGCAGUGGAUACGGACAGACUAGAGGUAGGUAGGGGAGAAUGGAAUUCCCGGUGUAGCGGUGAAAUGCGCAGAUAUCGGGAGGAACACCGGUGGCGAAGGCGGUUCUCUGGGCAGUAACUGACGCUGAGGAGCGAAAGCGUGGGGAGCGAACAGG